RNAcentral lists this ribosomal RNA (252 nucleotides) under uncultured bacterium. Its description in RNAcentral is "partial 16S ribosomal RNA". It matches the Rfam family "Bacterial small subunit ribosomal RNA", at positions 524 to 776 of the family's 1533-position model. The record is from RNAcentral.
UACGUAGGGUGCGAGCGUUAAUCGGAAUUACUGGGCGUAAAGCGUGCGCAGGCGGUUUUGUAAGCCAGAUGUGAAAUCCCGGGCUUAACCUGGGAAUGGCAUUUGGGACUGCAAGGCUGGAGUGCGGCAGAGGAGACUGGAAUUCCUGGUGUAGCAGUGAAAUGCGCAGAUAUCAGGAGGAACACCGGUGGCGAAGGCGGAUCUCUGGGCCUUACCUGACGCUCAGGUGCGAAAGCUAGGGGAGCGAACAGG